This is a long non-coding RNA of Brassica napus (rape), 1895 nucleotides long. RefSeq lists it as uncharacterized. Lineage: Eukaryota; Viridiplantae; Streptophyta; Magnoliopsida; Brassicales; Brassicaceae. The transcript has 2 exons. The record is from RefSeq and is a predicted model, not a curated record.
CUAUUAAAAAAUAAAAAAUCAGAUAAGUGAAAUCUAUAUUUUUAAAUAGAAUAAACCUAAAAAUGAAAAAUUAUUUUUUUUUUCAAAAUCUCAAUAUCCGAACCCAAUCCAAAAUAACCAAAUCCGAACUAAAAUACCCGAACCCGAUCCGAAGUAUAGAAAUACCCGAACAGGUUCAAUACCCCUAUACCGAAAUACCCAAAAAUCUGAAAUACCGGACCAACCCCGAACGGGUAUCCGACAAAUAAUCUUCUGCAUUUUUUUAUGUACACUUACUGUUUAAAACUAAAAACAUUUAUAUUUAUUUCAAACUUAUUAAUAUCAUUAAAUUAUGAAACUAAUAUGAAAAUUAUUUGACAUAUAUAUAUAUGGAUGAUGAUGAUUUAUUAGCGAAAGAGAAAAAGAUAGUCUCCAUGUUUUAAUGUCAUUCUCGACUUUCCAUGUGGGGAAGAAAAUUUAUAAUUUUAUACAAAAAUCUCUCCUCAAACCCAAAAUGCUAAUUUCUUUUGGCUUCUUCUUCAUUCUUCCCAGAUUCUCUGUAGAGGAGGAUCUAUGAAUCCAUCUCCUCCCCCUAUCUAAGCUCCUCUUCUUCUUCUUUUCCAUCGGUUACUCUGUUUCAGAAGAUUUUUUUGACUGAAGGCAUUCACUCUAUUUCAGAAGCUUCCAGAAGCAUCAAUGGCCGAGAGUUUAUCUGUUAAUACGGAAAAACUAUCUCUUUCUACCACUCUCAUCUAAUCUUUCGUGAUUUAAGCUUCUAGGUUACUCUGCAUGUUAGUUUUAUCAUUGGAAUCAACCUUCAAAAAUCUUCUCUUUUUUUCUUCAUAAGAUUUAAAAAUUUGGUUUUUUAAGCUCUAAAGGUUUACUUAUAUUCUCAGGUUUUAAUGUUUGAUGUAAACAGGACAGUGCAGAAAUUGUAAUAAAACAACCAAAGAGAUCACAUCUGUUCUUAAAGAUGAUAGUUUUGGUGUUUGCAAUGGUCCGUGGUCUCUAAAUUUGCUCCGUCUGCUUAAAACAGUUUAGUGUCCAAACCUCACAACUUGUUCGAACUCGUAUCACCACUCGGAUUCAUUACCCAGAGCCAGAGACUUUCAAUAGGUAAGUAACUCUUCUUGUUUCUUUGUUUGUUUAUUCACUUCUAACUGUGAAACUGAUCUGAAUGUGGGCACAAUCCGGUGAGGUUCUUUGCGAUACUAUCGAUGCAGAGAUCAGGAAGCGGUUGGUUCGAAACGUUGGUUUGAUAUCUCUCCACCGAUUCGUUACCCAGUGCUUGAAAAUAUGACGACUACGAAUCAGUUAAAUGGAGAAGCUCCACUGCUUGUGUAGGUGGAAGCUCAAGCAACAACCGGAAACCUCGGCGUUAUCUGGAGUUAGCAUCGUUAUUUGCCAAAAUUUCCGCCGCGGAGAUGAAACGAUUCAAGAGAAACCCUCGAACAGAUCUAAGCAAAGCAUUAAAGACGAAUCGUGGAGGAGAGUCAAUAGGAUUUAACACGAAGCCAUUAAUCAAACCGUUGCAGGUCGGGAGACGAAUUGCAAAAGUCACGCCUAGCCGUCUCACGAAGAGGAGCGAUGAAUUCCGUUUUCUCGCUGCAGCCGUAUUAGGGAUAGACGGAGCCCAUUAUCGUUGGGCCGGAAACACUUCUAAUCUCACUGCCCAUGAACACACUAAAGAACGAAACCGAAAAUGUUGAAGUUUAAUGAAACGUGCGGUUUGCCUUAUGGACACGUGUCAUUACGAUAUGAAAUGACUUAUCUACGUGGAUCCUAGGUGUCUCUCUAAGGAGAGAGCAAACCAUACUUUAUAAAAAUAGAUAUAGAAAUGUAAUAAAAUUGUAAGAAUGUUAAUGAUUUUAAGAUGAUUUUUAUUUUCAAUACUUAAUAUGAAUUUUUUUAUUACC